Molecule: non-coding RNA, 1195 nt
Filed under: Coccidioides posadasii str. Silveira
Lineage: Eukaryota; Fungi; Ascomycota; Eurotiomycetes; Onygenales; Onygenaceae
Description: Eukaryotic small subunit ribosomal RNA
Rfam family: Eukaryotic small subunit ribosomal RNA
Source: Rfam by way of RNAcentral
AAUAAAGAUCUGGUUGUUGAGAUAUUUAAUAAAUUCAUUGCGUGGAGCAUUUGGCGAAAUUUGGCUUGUUUAGUGGUGUGGCUCAUUUAGUGGUGAACUACCUUAAUCUUCACUGGCUGUAGAGAGAACCAGAACUUUUACUGUGAAAAAAUUAAAGUGUUCAAAGCAAGCCUUUGCUCAGAUGCAUUAGCAUGAAAUAAUAGAAUAGAACAUGUGGUUCUAUUUUGUUGGUUUCUAGGACUGCUGUAAUAAUUAAUAGAGAUAAUCAGAAGUGUCAGUAUUUGGCUGUCAGAGAUGAAAUUCUUGGAUUUACUGAAGACUAACUACUGUGAAAGUAUUUGCCAAGAAUGUUUUCAUUAAUUAGUAAAUAAAAGUUAGAGGAUUGAAGAUAAUCAGAUACUGUUGUAGUCUUAACUAUAAACUAUACUGACUAGAGAUUGAAUGAGCAAUUUUGAAUAAUCCAUUCAGCAUCUUACAAGAAAUCAAAGUUUUUGGGUUCUGGGGGGAGUAUGAUCACAAGGCUGAAACUUAAAGAAAUUAAUAAAAGAGCACCACCAGGUGUGAAGUCUGUGGCUUAAUUUAACUCAAUAUGGGGAAACUCACCAGAUCCAGACAAAAUAAGGAUUGACAGAUUGAGAGCUCUUUCUUGAUCUUUUGAAUAGUGGUGCAUGGCUGUUCUUAGUUAAUGAAGUGAUUUGUCUGCUUAAUUAUAAUAAUAAAUGAGACCUUAACCUGCUAAAUAGUCUGACCCAUGUUUGUGGGCUGCUGGCUUCUUAGAGAGACUAUUGACUCAAGCUGAUGGAAGUUUGAGACAAUAACAGAUCUGUAAUGUUCUUAAAUAUUCUGGACUGCAUGUGUGCUACACUAACAGGGCCAGUGAGUAUAUCAUCUUAACUGAGAGAUCUGAAUAAUCUUGUUAAACUCUGUUAUGCUGGAGAUAGAGCAUUGUAAUUAUUGCUUUUCAAUAAGAAAUGUCUAGUAGACACAAGUCAUCAGCUUGUACUGAUUAUAUUCCUGCUCUUUGUACACACCACUCAUUACUACUACUGAUUGAAUAACUUAGUAAGACCUUCAGACUAGCUCAGAAAGAUUGGCAAUAACUAUCCAGAGCUGGAAAGUUGGUCAAACUUGAUUAUUUAGAGAAAGUAAAAGUUGUAACAAGAUUUCUGUAGAUAAAUCUGCAGAAGAAUCAUUA